UCAAUAAGCGGAGGAAAAGAAACUAACAAGGAUUCCCCCAGUAACGGCGAGUGAAGCGGGAAGAGCUCAAGCUUAAAAUCUCCAUGUUUACAUGGCGAAUUGUAGUCUAUUGAGGCUGUUGUCAGCAUAGCGAUCUGGGAAAAGUCCCUUGGAAAAGGGCAGCAUAGAGGGUGAUACUCCCGUCUCUGCUCAGAUUGUCUGUGUGUACGAUACGCUUUCUUUGAGUCGAGUUGUUUGGGAAUACAGCUCAAAGUAGGUGGUAAAUUCCAUCUAAAGCUAAAUAUUGGUGCGAGACCGAUAGCGAACAAGUACCGUGAGGGAAAGAUGAAAAGAACUUUGAAAAGAGAGUUAAAGAGUACCUGAAACUGUUGAAAGGGAACCGUAUCGUUUCCAGUGUUUAAUCCUAUGCAUAUUUCAUUGGCGGAGUAAUUUGCUGGUGCCCUGUGCAUGGGUGUGACGUCAGAGUCAGUUUGUAUGCUGCGGGAGAUGGUUAGUAAGAAGGUGCGUCACUUCGGUGAAAGUUAUAUCUUGCUAUCUAGUUGCCGUGGUUGAGACUGAGGUGCCUACAACACGCCCUGGGGUUCAGUAGUGUCUCGUUUUGGUGACUGCUUGGAUAGCUUGCUAUGUCUGUGGUUAAUCAGGGCGAUGGAUGCUAUUGAAAACCUCUGCUGUUCGGGACUCUGGCGAAAUGGAGCGAUACGACCCGUC
RNAcentral lists this ribosomal RNA (708 nucleotides) under Calyptralegnia achlyoides. RNAcentral describes it as "LSU rRNA". It matches the Rfam family "Eukaryotic large subunit ribosomal RNA", at positions 43 to 653 of the family's 3401-position model. The record is from RNAcentral. Lineage: Eukaryota; Oomycota; Saprolegniomycetes; Saprolegniales; Saprolegniaceae.